Molecule: RNA transcript, 7708 nt
Organism: Falco peregrinus (peregrine falcon)
Lineage: Eukaryota; Metazoa; Chordata; Aves; Falconiformes; Falconidae
Gene: BEND3
Gene name: BEN domain containing 3
Exons: 7
Source: RefSeq, a predicted model, not a curated record
GGCAGCGCCGGGGAGGGCGGGGGGGGAGGGGGGGGAGGGGGGAGAGCGGCCUGCUCCUCCCCCCUCCCCUCCCGCCUCUGCCCCUGCCCCGGGGCGGCGGGUGGCGCUGGCCGCGGCGGGUCGGGGCUCAGUGUCCUUGUGCGGAAAUGACACACGGUCCCGUCACGUCACGCGAGAGCGCAGCGCGCGGACCCUCGCACACAAAGAGCGGGGGGGAAACGCGGGCACCAGCGGCGGCCGCUCCAGCCGCCCCCGCCGUCCCGGGGCUGCCGUGCCCCCGCGCGGACCCGAGGCCUUAAUUUCCUAUGGAGGUGAUGAUACAGUUGCUGUGUUGACAUCUCUGUGUCCACUCACUACUCACUUGUGAGUCCAUUGCUACCCAAAUUUGAAGCGAGAUGGUGGUGUAAAUAGGUGUGGGAUAGAAGAUGAAUUCAGCUGAAAUCACUGAUGAUGAUGAAGUAAAAAUUCCUAAAAAUAAUGUUGUGAAAGUAGAAACAGAAAAUGAAGAUGAAGCUCUAGACUGCUCGGUAACGUCCAGGUCUGCUGAGAAACACUCACUGGAUGGCGCAGUUACUUGCCUGCAGGAUUCCAGCAAACGGAAACAGACCUCACUUGGUUGUGAUGGUUCAGGGAGCCAGCAAGAUGUCUUACCCAGUGUGAAGAAAAGACGCUUUACACAAGAGGGCUCCCUUUCAAACAUGAAGAACAGAGAUGCUGGCUCACCCACUCAGGUAAAUGCAGAGCAGCCAAACAAGAACAAGAAUCCUAACGUGACAUGGCUCUGUGAAGAAGAAUCCUUCAGUGACGUAACAACUCCAUCUUAUAAAAAACCUCUCUAUGGCAUCUCACACAAAAUCACGGAGAAGAAGAACCCACCAGGAGCAGAGCAGUUUGCUUCUUAUGAGUUGUUUGAAAAAAUCAACCCCAGCAGUCCCUCACAUCUUCGGACUUUGAAUGACCAACGGAAAAGGGACUCUGCUACAGCCAUAGCCGUAACAGCAGCCACCACAGAUGCUGACCCAAAUAUAUAUUCUUUGAUACAGAAAAUGUUUUACACGCUUAACACCCUCAAUACCAAUAUGACUCAGCUUCACAGUAAAGUUGACCUGUUGUCUUUGGAGGUUAGCAGAAUUAAAAAGCAAGUCAGUCCAGUAGAGUCCGUUGCAGACUUCAAGCCUCCCCCGGAGUAUCAGCUGACUUCUGCAGAGCUCAAACAGAUCAUGGAUCAAAGCACAUCAGGCGGAGACCUAGCUUGCCGGUUGCUAGUGCAGCUCUUCCCAGAGCUCUUCAGCGAUGACGAGUUCAGCAGAAGCUGCAGUGCAUGUGGCUUUCUCAACAAAAGGAAACUUGAAUCUCUUCAUCUACAGCUUAUCCGUAACUAUGUGGAAGUUUGUUAUCCUUCUGUGAAGAAUACAGCUGUGUGGCAGGUGGAGUGUUUGCCUCAAGUCAACGAUUUUUUCAAUAGAUUUUGGGCUCAAAGGGAAAUGGAAAACAGUCAGCAGAGUGUGCAGUCGUCUGGUUUUUAUGAGACUGAGCAGGUCGAAUCCUCUCAUUUUAUGGAGGAUAAAGAGCAGGAGGAAGCUUUGUCCUUGGACAGGAGUAAUGCUAUUGCCUCAGAUUACAUGCUGGAUGCUCAGGAUCUCAAUGAAUUUUUAGAUGAAGCUUCUUCUCCGGGGGAAUUCUCUGUUUUUUUGUUACACAGAUUGUUUCCAGAACUCUUCGACCACAGAAAAUUAGCUGAAAGGUACAGCUGCUUUGGAGACUCUGGAAAACAACUGCUGGAUCCUCAUCGGCUUCAAAUAAUCCGUAGGUACACUGAAAUUUACUUUCCAGAUGUGCAAGAAGAAGCAGCCUGGUUGCAGCAAUGUGUUCAACGAAUAAAUGAUGAGCUUGAAAAUACUUAUAUGGAUGGGAGUGAAUGUGAUCAGAUGAGAGAUGACUGUUACGAUUCUUCUAGUUUACCAGAUGAUGUAUCAAUAAUAAAAGUAGAAGACAGUUUUGAAUAUGAAAAGCCUGGCAGGCGCUCAAAAAAAAUUUGGCUUGUACCCAUAGACUUUGACAAACUUGACUUUCCCCCUCCUGAUUUCGAUGUCCCUGUGCCGGAUUACCUGUUGAACAAAGAACAGAUUAAAAGCAUAUAUGAAAGCAGUCUUUCCAUAGGCAACUUUGCCUCUCGAUUGCUUGUUCUUUUAUUUCCUGAAUUGUUUACUCAUGAAAACUUACGGAAGCAAUAUAACUGUAGUGGAUCUUUAGGCAAGAAACAGCUCGACCCCACUAGAAUUAAAUUAAUUCGACAUUAUGUGCAGAUACUGUACCCCAGAGCAAAGAAUGACAGAGUGUGGACAUUGGAGUUUGUUGGGAAGCUUGACGAGAGGUGUCGACGAAGAGACACGGAGCAAAGGCGCACAUACCAACAGCAACGGAAAAUCCACAUACCAGGGCCCGACAGGAGGGAAUUUCUCAGCUAUGCAAUAAAUGCCGAGAGGUUUCGAGAAGAAUUCGAAGGGCCACCACUGCCACCAGAAAGAAGCAGCAAGGAUUUUUGCAAGAUACCACUCGAUGAACUCGUUGUUCCUAAUCCAGACUUCCCUGUGCCUUCUCUGUAUUUGCUGUCUGAUAAGGAGACCUUUUUAGUUUAAAAGAACAAACUUGUCAUUUUGAAAGUGAGGCUAUGAUAGGAAGAUUGCUAUGUAUUGAAGCGUUUGGAACCUGCAUAGCCAUGCGCACACUGACUUCCUAUGGAUGAACAUUACCUUCUACCUACCAGCUCAUACAAAUCCUGUUCUGAGAAGCCAGCUCUCCUGCAGCAGUCCUGGCUGAAGGAGCUGCCCUGGGCUGGCCAGUCUCAGCACUGGAAGCAGAUGGCUCCUAACAAAAUCAGAACUCUAUCAUACUCAUUUUCCUUAAACUUCAUCUGACUGGCAGGAGAUUAGCCCCUUACACUGUAUUAUUUUUAUCCAGCCUGUUCGUUUUUGUAAUUUUCUAGAUGCUGUCCUUUCUAGUUAGUGGCCAUAAAAGCCCGAGACAUGGGCAGACCAUCUGCUUACUCCAUUUCCUGAUCUGUUCCAUGAUGGGCGCUGUGGUCCCCACUGAACAUUUUUCUUUCAUUAACAAUUCAGAAAGAAGAACUUUGAUUCUUGCAGGAAGUGAAGAGCUGUAAUAGCCAAAAAGUGGGCAAAAUCACCACGUGUCCAGUCACACUAAACUUCGUGUUAAUAGAUGGAAACAAAUUGUGAUUAGUGAAGACUGGAGGAAAACGGCUAAUUAGUAUCUCCCCACCCCCAAUGUCAAGUAAUCAUUCCCAGUUUCUUUCACAAAUUUCAUUAUGGCAAAACAGUUGUUUGUGAUUGUUUCCAGAGGCAUUUUGUAGUCUUGUGUGUUAGUGCUCACUUCUCUGGGAGGCAAAAUAUUCCUUUAAUGUUAACACUUUGAGGACUGUACCACUUUGGUUAGCUGGUAAGGUCAUGUGUUAGCAAGGUCUACAAACGUUUCCUGAAAAAGAAAAAUCCAGAGGUACCUGUCAGCAGCAGGAACGAAUCACUCAAUAGGAUCACAUCCUACAUGUGUGAUUUGAUCCCUCGUAUAAAACCUGGAGUUUGGGUUUAUGUCAUGUAAUGCUCUCCCUUGUCUCUUGCUCUCUAUCUCUCUUGUUCCAAGAAUUAAAAAAAAACCCAGGGUCUCCUUGAAGUGCUUGUCUAUAUAUACGUUGAAUGCUGAAGUACUGGAAACAAGAAUUUUGGCUUCAGCAUUACUCAGAUUUGCAGGGCUCCCACGCAUCCCCCUUUUGCAUUCCUUUCCCCACAUGCUAUCAUAGAAUGGCCACUGCAGCUGGCCUGCACAGGCGGUUGGGUGCUGUAAUUUGGUAAGCGCCGAAGGUAGGCUGUCCUGUUCUGAUGUGCCAUUACAGAAAAAAAAACCAACAACAAAUAAAACCCAGAAACACUUUGAUGCUUUUCUGUUCUAAGGAAACAAGAACUACCUAUUAUUUUGGGGGCCAAAGGAGUCAGAGUGUAAUCCCCCUCCACGCUGAUCUGUAGGCAGCAGAACUCAGAACCCGUUCAGGAGUGUCAGUAUGUGCCUGCUUUAGUUGCCCAGGCUGACUCUUCUGCUAGACCUGAGUCCAGCUCCUGUGUAAGCGAUUCCCCAAUAUUCCUUCACAGGAUUCUCCCGCACCCUGCUCCGUAAUGCAGGCUGGCCCAUGUGCAGCAGGUGCUGCAGCAUGUAACGUUGCUCCUGCAGCAGGUGGAACAUGCAAAGCUGUCAGAUAACGCUGGGUGCUGUGCAGUGACAGCUGGGUCCUGUACCCACAACCUGACGGUGCCUGCCUCUUACAGGACCAGGCAAAUUCUAGAUCAGGUUAUCCCUCUGUGCAAGGGCAGGGAUGGUGGCCAUUCUGGGCUCCACGCCUGGCAGCCAGCAUAAGGUUGGAUUCGUCCGUGGUUAAUGCAGAUGUAGCUGGGACAGCACAGUCAUCUCGGCAGCCUCCAGUGAACUUAGUCACGUGUCAAGCCGUCCAAACUAUCCUUUAUGACCUCUCGGCAGUAUCUUUGCGAGGAAGCCCUUUCAUGUAGUUCCUCCACCAUGCAGAUGCCUGUAUCCUGGAGCAGGAAAUUCAUUACAGCAGUGAGAGAAGGGCAGAAGCGAUGAUCAUUUACCCAUUCACUGUCCGUACCCAGAACUCUUGAGCAGAAGGAAAAGCAUGUAUAUGUCUCCCACCACUCAGCAGUCAGUGGCAGUAGCAAUUUUGUACUUGAUUAGUGGCAGUCUCCGUUUUAGGAAGAUCAUUAAAACUUCUGUUUGACCACUUCUUACUACUUUGACGUGUCCUUUGACCAGACACCUGACCAUGUUAUCAGAUGAACUCCCAUCACCUUCCAUUCCCAGCUGAUAAAGGGAAGAUGCACAGCCGAUUCCCGAAUAAGUUUAGGUGUCCUUUACAUACACACAUUCUAUGUGAGCCUACUUUGUCUAAAAGCCACCUGAAUGUCUGGCAAAAACUGUGGCUGUGAUGUGCCUGUUCCUACACCUCUGAGAACUCAUACAGGCUCUGCUCACCUGGCACACACAUCAGUCAUUAACCAAGCCUUGUCCUUCUUUAGCUCACAGUCCAAAUGUUUGAAGGCUGCAGAAACAAGCGCAACCUGCUCAGCAGCAUCUGGCCCCAAUAAAAAGGUCUGAUCAAUACAGAGAAGCUUAUCCAGCACUGAUCAAUGUAGCUAAGUGGAACAGCUACUCACCUUCCUGCUGUCAUAGUUUCCCUCCGAGAUCACCCUGCCUGUGGCUGAAGCUUUUUUUUCCUGAAGCCAAUGGGUACAGUUCUCUCUCCAACUAUUUCAAUCCUGAAUCCACAGAGGGUGCUCCCAGCCAUCACUUCAUUAGAAAGCCUGCCUUUGGUUUCCUUUACUGUGCGGAUACCGCUAGUGGAUCAACACUUAAACCAAUCAAAGCCUGCUUCUACCUUCCAUCUGUCAGUGAAGACCUGGUUUUGGUAGCAGUCACAGAAUAACACAAUGGUUUGGGUUGGAAGGGACCUUUAAAGAUCACCUAGUCCACACCCCCUGCCAUCAGCAGGGACAUCAUUCACUAGACCAGGUUGCUCCAAACCCCAUCCAGCCUGGCCUUGAACACUUGAGGGAUGGGGCAUCCACAGCUUCUCUGGGCAACCUGUUCCAGUGUCUUACCACCUUCAUAAUAAAAAAUUGCUUCUUUAUAACCAAUCUAAAUCUACCUUCUUCUGGUUUAAAACCAAUGCCCCUUGUUCUGUCACUACAGACUGGUAAAAGGUCUCUGUCAUCAUUAGGAAAGGGCUAGUCUUGAUUGCAAGCUCUUGUCUACUUUACUUCCCAAUAGACUUUUGCAGAAGUUAAAAUCUAUGGCUCUGGCCUAAUACUGUAUUCAUAUUCUGUGCAGCUCAAGAAGUUACCCUGCCAGUGCUCUGUCUUAAGUCAUUGGCUUUCAGGGAUGCAGCUUUCUUGCCCAUCUUGGAUGCCAGGCAGACGUUGGCUUUUUUUGUUGUUAACUGUUUUUAUCUUGCACGGAACAGACUCUUUCAGAAACUUAAUUCCUUCAUGUCUGUACCUUGGCUAUCCCCAAGCCCUAAAGCAUUCCUGGGGCUUAUGGAUGGGGUCCUAUUCUGGCCCUAUAAGCGCUGGUGUGUAAGCUACUGCUGCUGGAGGCGGCAGGCAGUGUGACCACAUUCUGACAAGCACUUAGGUAACAACUGGUCACUGACCAGCAACUGGAGCUCACUGACAUAUUGCUCAUAACACAUCUUUCUGUCACAGCACUCUCAAAACUAGCCGGCUGCAACAAGGCUUUUACCAUCCCAUACCAGGUUAACUUCAGUAAGUGGCUCCCACACCUUGCCCCAGCGCAGCCACCAAUCCCCCACAAGGUUUCAACAGUUCAUCUACUGUUCAUGCUGUUUCUUCAUACUCUUCAGGCCGGUCCCUCUGCUUCUUGCCUCUGCAGCAUCAUUCUCGUCUCCAUCCAGGGCACUCUCUCUUCUUCCUCCGCUUCUUCCAGAUCUCUCUUCAUCCAGUGCUCCUCUUCCAUACCCCUUAGAGCUAUUCAACUACUUCACAGAACCAGCCACAGCUGCGCCUUAUCCCAUCAGCCAGCCUACCACCCCUGAAGCCAGCUCACAGCUGUAUAUUAUCAAUGUUAAUUAACCCAGUUUCAUUCCUCCACAUCAGGGGUCCUCAAACUUUUUAACCAGGGGGCUGGUGCAUGGAUGCAGUGGCAGGCAGUCAUCUGCGGCUGUUUGGUUCCCCCCCAACCCCCGGUGAGGGGGCCCGGAUUGAGGACCCUGGGAGACUGUAUCCAGCCCACGGGCCGUAGUUUGAGGACCCCUGCUUUACAUCUUUCUACUUGUUUCUCUCGGUGACCCUGGAGAUUAUGGGAGCCACUUACAAUAGCAAUGGUAGGUGGGAUGGGGGAGCAGAGGAUGCAGCUCAUCUCUUUAUUUCCAUAGCACUUGGUGCAAGCUCCAACAAAGACGGUGGAGACAGCAAAGCCCGCAAUGAAAGUACAGCCUGCCAUGUUCCUCUGGGUGCUUGCUAUGCUGAAUUCCUUAACGUCUGCAGUAUAAGGAUCACCAAAAUCCCCUAGGAAAGCUUUCCAGGAUCAUGUCUUCUCAAGAACCAAUGUUUUUAAAAGGUCACUAUGCCUUUAAAAUAUUAACUACACAUAUAUCUGCAUCUUUAAGCAUCUACACAUUCAUAAAAAAAAGCCCAAAACAGCACAGAUUUUAGUUAUGCCUAAAGAAAGCUAGAAAUUACUUUAAAUCCCACACACAGUAGCCACCACUUUUAAGGCUACAGACAGCAGCAGGUACAGCCUGCUUAAACAGUCAUCAAGUAACUGUUGGCAAUUGAGCCCAACAGUACCCAUGCACUCCUGACCAGGUGAGCAGUAUCGCUUCCUCUCACCUCGGAGACAAUUUAUGCAGUGAAAACCAGUCAUCGCUUUCCCAGAGCUUUUAUGCUUACCUCAUAGUCUGAUGCUUAACCAGAGCACUAGGUCUGCUUUGUGAGCAACAGUUCCUUGCCAGUGCAUUUAGAUUUCAGGAACACCAAAGAAAAAGUGUCCUGGAAUAUGCUCCUGCUGCCUACUCUCUUCUUCCCUCUGGGCUCUCCAGAGCAGGUAGGGAGCAGACCAUGGACUGGACGAGCAGUAGCUAGCUGCUCCUACUGGCCAGUUGUCCUAC